RNAcentral lists this ribosomal RNA (253 nucleotides) under uncultured Lactobacillus sp. RNAcentral's name for it is "partial 16S ribosomal RNA". It matches the Rfam family "Bacterial small subunit ribosomal RNA", at positions 524 to 776 of the family's 1533-position model. Lineage: Bacteria; Bacillati; Bacillota; Bacilli; Lactobacillales; Lactobacillaceae. The record is from RNAcentral.
UACGUAGGUGGCAAGCGUUAUCCGGAUUUAUUGGGCGUAAAGGGAACGCAGGCGGUCUUUUAAGUCUGAUGUGAAAGCCUUCGGCUUAACCGGAGUAGUGCAUUGGAAACUGGGAGACUUGAGUGCAGAAGAGGACAGUGGAACUCCAUGUGUAGCGGUGGAAUGCGUAGAUAUCGCGCAGAACUCCGAUUGCGAAGGCAGCGUACCGGCGCCAGACUGACGCUGAGGCACGAAAGCGUGGGGAUCGAACAGG